RNAcentral lists this long non-coding RNA (2025 nucleotides) under Sus scrofa (pig). Its description in RNAcentral is "lncRNA (ENSSSCG00060033727.1)". The record is from RNAcentral. Lineage: Eukaryota; Metazoa; Chordata; Mammalia; Artiodactyla; Suidae.
AUUCCAAAGAGGACCUUCAGUGGGCAGAGUAGGUGGGCGAGGCUUCUGCUGCUGAAGGUCGCGGAGCCCUUCCGUUUGCCUCUCUCCCGGAUGCUUCUCCUCCUGUUUGCGCUUGCGGAAGGGGUGAAGGUGGGAGGACCACCACGCUGUUGAAGGUUAUGUCUGAGUGUGUGAGCAUCCAGAAUUCCUGUGGGCUUCUAGGGCACAUUUGCUUAGAGCUCCUAGUUUGGUUAGUUAGGUGGUGAUCUUUAACGAGUUAGAAGACAACCUACCUUCAAAAUGUUUCUGCCAAUGAGGAGUCAGGAAGCGACCACAAGGUUCUGCUCUUGAAGAGAAGGCUAGGAUGGGCCUCAGUGAUAAAAGGUGCCGUGGAAAACAAAGUGUAAUCAAAAGAUGAAAGCUGAAACAGAAAAAUUAAAAGAAGAAAUAAAAGAAAAGUCAACACCCUUUUGUGUGAAAUGUGGGAUAGUUAAACCAUAUCGCAUUCUUAUCCUCGUCUGCACUUUCAGUGGUUCUGCCCUUCUGUGGUGGGCCUUCAGCCUCUCCACCUGGGUGAGGAUAGAAAUCCCAAGUGGCUCCCAAGUCCUUUUCAGCGCUCUUUUUGCAAUAUGCAGUGGUGAGAUCAAGUGUUGGAUUCCACUAUCAAAAUCAACUUUAUACUCCUGGUCUUACCUCAUUCCCUUCCUGAUACCCGGAAACAGUACUUUGUCUUCACAAUCGUCUUCUUCGUCAUAGGUAUCUGUGUGUUCCUUGCAUUACUGCUGCACUCUCUGCAUGUUUUGAAAGUAACCAACUUAUGCAAGGAUGCGAAAAUCACCUUUCUCUACCCUACUUUCAUCCUUUCAUUCAGCGCCAUACUAUUUUUCUUAUCUGGAAUCCUCUGCUUAUUCAGCUCCCAUCAUUGUUGGCUUCAGUGCGUCUUACAGCAACCAAUCCAAGUGAAACCUAUGCAAAUGUCAGUGGUCAGUGGGAACUCAGCAAUGGUCACAGAAAGGACACCGGGUAGAGAUGGCUAGCCUAACCUCAGUGGUGGUGAGAAAGCUGAUUUUAGAAGAAACAUGUCUCACCUGUAAUUCAAGAUUUCACAGCUAUACACACACUCUUAUUUAAUUACUGCGUAAGACUGGAAAGAGUUGGCUGGUUACUAAUCAUUGUUCAAGAUAUGGCUUAGGAUUCCGGGGACUUAGAUAUUCAUAAGAGAGAAAACACAGUUGGGGUGUGGGGAAGGUUGAAUGUUUGGCUCUUGGGGACUUGAAAUGAAAAAAACUUCUCUUCACCUUGAAGAUUCUUCUCUUGGCACCCAUUUCCCAACCCUCUUGCUGGUAUGCCUGGUCUCCUGGCAGUGCUUUUUUUUAGCAGUAACAAAACUUUCUCUCCACUAUAAAGCCUGAGUUUGAUAAAAACAAAUUUUUUUUCUGCUCUCUGGGAAUUUCAUGAGUGGAAUCUUUUCACUACUGUGUUAUUCGGGACUCUUUUUUUUUUUUUUUUUUUUGCAUGUAACAAACCUUAUCCAAACUACCUUCAACAAAAAUUGAAUUUAUUGGAUGCAGGGGUUACCUCAUAGACUCAAAGAAAGUUCUGGUAGAAUCAGGGCUACAUGAGAGAGUUGGGGAGCUGGAAUCUUGAGAUCAUUUCCUCAGGAUACUAUUUUUUUAAACUAUCCACUGAAGGUUAAUGGAAUUUCUCAAUCCUUAAAAUGGAAGCACUAUCCUAAAUUCCUCUUGCUCAUCACUUUCAAUGAAUCACCAAAGCUUGUCCUUUCCACCUCAACAAGACUUCUGUUCCCCUCCCUGAGCCCUCCUCACUGGUCAUCGUGACCAGGUCUUUGUCAUCCCUGCCCAGACUGUGUUGUCUCUGAAUGUGGCUUGUCCCCCACUGUGGCCUACUUCUGCGAAGCUGCCCAGCUCGAGCUUCCUAAAACACAGAGCUGAGAAUGUGCUCCUUAAAAGCCUAUUUUGCCUUCUUCUGGCCUUCAGGAUAAAUUCCUUAUCUUGAUAAAUAAAGUUAUUUACAAGUUGGCAUCAA